This 909-nucleotide ribosomal RNA is filed under the name uncultured organism. Its description in RNAcentral is "bacterial SSU rRNA". It matches the Rfam family "Bacterial small subunit ribosomal RNA", at positions 10 to 967 of the family's 1533-position model. The record is from RNAcentral.
AGUUGAUCCUGGCUCAGAACGAACGCUGGCGGCAGGCCUAACACAUGCAAGUCGAGCGAGGACUUCGGUCCUAGCGGCGGACGGGUGAGUAACGCGUGGGAACGUGCCCUUCACUACGGAAUAGUCCCGGGAAACUGGGUUUAAUACCGUAUACGCCCUUCGGGGGAAAGAAUUUCGGUGAAGGAUCGGCCCGCGUCUGAUUAGGUAGUUGGUGGGGUAACGGCCUACCAAGCCUACGAUCAGUAGCUGGUUUGAGAGGAUGAUCAGCCACACUGGGACUGAGACACGGCCCAGACUCCUACGGGAGGCAGCAGUGGGGAAUCUUAGACAAUGGGGGCAACCCUGAUCUAGCCAUGCCGCGUGAGUGACGAAGGCCCUAGGGUCGUAAAGCUCUUUCACCAGGNGAAGAUAAUGACGGUACCUGGAGAAGAAACCCCGGCUAACUCCGUGCCAGCAGCCGCGGUAAUACGGAGGGGGUUAGCGUUGUUCGGAAUUACUGGGCGUAAAGCGCGCGUAGGCGGACUGUUAAGUCAGGGGUGAAAUCCCGGGGCUCAACCCCGGAACUGCCCUUGAUACUGGCAGUCUCGAGUUCGAGAGAGGUGAGUGGAACUCCGAGUGUAGAGGUGAAAUUCGUAGAUAUUCGGAAGAACACCAGUGGCGAAGGCGGCUCACUGGCUCGAUACUGACGCUGAGGUGCGAAAGUGUGGGGAGCAAACAGGAUUAGAUACCCUGGUAGUCCACACCGUAAACGAUGAAUGCCAGACGUCGGGCAGCAUGCUGUUCGGUGUCACACCUAACGGAUUAAGCAUUCCGNCUGGGGAGUACGGCCGCCAGGUUAAAACUCACAGGCAUUGACGGUGGCCCGCACAGGCCGUGGAGCCUGUGCGUUUAUUCGAAGCAACGCGCAGA